CGGGAAGCUCGAGGGAAAGUUCUAGAUGAACAUUUUUAGUAAAUCACCUAAUUGCAAUGAUUAACAUACUUUGGAACAAAUUAAGUAGGCUUGUGACAUUUAAUUAGCUCAACUAGAACCUUGAAAUUUUCUAUUGAACUCCCAUUAUCUAAUUUCACAGCCUCUAAUGCUUUUUCUUUUAGCCCUUCAACAUUUUUCCUUAAUACUUUCCCUUUUCCUUCAUUGAAAAAAGUACUCAAUGCACCAAUUGUUCCACUUUUAGUAAAAUUCCCACCUUCAAUUUGCAAACCAAUUUUCCAAACACUUUCCACCAUUCUACUAUUCAAUUUUUGGUCACCAAAAAAGGGCCUACAUAUCAUAGGCACACCGUAUGAUAUCCCUUCCAGAAUCGAGUUCCAUCCACAAUGCGUUACAAAAACGCCAACACUCUUAUGUGCCAAAAUUUCCAAUUGAGGCGCCCACGAAAUUAUCUUCCCAUAUUCCUUUGACCUUUCGUAAAAACCCUUAGGUAAAGUCUUGACUCCGUUGUCUCUUAAUGACCAAAUAAAUGGAAUCUUUUUAUCUUCCAACGCUUGUGCUAUCGCGAUUAUUUCAUUAGGAGGUAAUGUUGUAACCGUACCAAAACUUAGAUACACCACCGAUCUUUCCUUUUGAUUAUCAAGCCAUUCGAUACAUCCACUUUCAUCAGUAUUCGCGUCUUUAUUUGAUGAUGAUGAUGAUAUUACUAAAGGACCAAUGUUGAGUACCUUUUGGAGCUUUGAUUUGAGGUCUUUAUUGAUAAUUGGAUCUAAUUCUUCAAAGGAAUUUAAUACAACAGCAUUAGCUUUGUGUAAAUUCAAUGCCAUGUUGUGCAGCAUAGAUGGCAUUGGCCCUUUUAAACUCUCUGCUAUAACUUCAGGUGGCAUAUCACUCAUUUUCAAAGUAGAUGAAAAUCCAGGGAUGUUCAACAGUGUUUCGUCGUUCGAUCGAAUCAAAUCAGUGUACAAAUGGAUAGAUAAUGAACAUGAACCAGCAGUCCAAAAUGCAAUCCAAGGGACGUUCAUUUUGUUAGCAAAUUCACUAGAAAACCAUAAAAAUGCAUCGCUGAUAAUGCAUGAAAAUUUAACCCCUGUUUCCUCCUCUGCUUCUUUCAUUGAUGUUUCGAAAUUCGUUGGUGUUGAGUGUAUGAAGAGUUCAAUUGCUUCGCGCCCAAUAGGCGUGUCAUUGCCUUGUUUGACGCCAUCCCAAAUGUUGUAAACCUUGAUGUUUUCUUGAUUUGGAGUUCUUGAGAAAAUUGAUGUGUUGGAAUUUGAUGUGUUGAAGAAGGAAAAUAUUGUGUUGGAUGGUAAAAAUGGAGUGAUUUUUUGAGCUAGUGUUAGUAAAGGAGCUGCAUGACUUCCAAAUGGGAAUGCAAGAAGUGCAAUAUGAAGUUGAGGACUUGUCAUUCUUUUGUUGUAGUUG
This 1440-nucleotide unclassified non-coding RNA is filed under the name Hevea brasiliensis (rubber tree). The record is from RNAcentral. Lineage: Eukaryota; Viridiplantae; Streptophyta; Magnoliopsida; Malpighiales; Euphorbiaceae.